This is a long non-coding RNA of Etheostoma spectabile (orangethroat darter), 227 nucleotides long. RefSeq lists it as uncharacterized. The record is from RefSeq and is a predicted model, not a curated record. The transcript has 3 exons. NCBI's taxonomy places the organism in Eukaryota, Metazoa, Chordata, Actinopteri, Perciformes, Percidae.
GUCACCUAGAUACAAACAGAACACCCACACAAGGUAGUGCACAACUAUAAUCAAUGAAAACAAUAUAAUGGUGCACCGUUGAACACAAACACACACCUUAUAAUAAAUAAAAACCUUAAAGGUGCUCUAAGUGAUGUUGGGUGACAGCACUUUGUGUUAACGUUUAAAGUAUUGUAAAACAAAACUAGGCUAGCUCGUCCCUCCCUCAUCCUCAUUCAUCAUUAUUU